UCUGGCUAUAGAUUCCUGCUGCUGAGAUGAAUUGCCAACUUCUCUGAGACUGCUUCUGAGCUACAGUGGGAUUAACUCUCUGAGCUGUGCACUUCAGAAUAUGUACUGAUCCAGCAGCCUACCAAUGUGUAUUUCCAGGGGACUAAAAACAAGGAGGCUGGAGCUGCAAGUCAUCCCCAAAUGAGAUGGAGGAUUCCCCAAAACUAAUGGUGCGUUGAGGCUGUCCUUCCCCUUUGAGGUAAUGACACCACAGGAAGAAGUCAGUCAGCGAAUACCCGGAGUCUCGACUGUCACAGAUUUUACUGACACUGCUGAGCUGUGAAGAACUCUGAACCUGAGGAAUGGAAUUACCUCGCUGAGUUGUGGACGAUGCAAUGAAACAUAAGGGAUGCUGAGGACAGAAGGGUGUGACAUUUCACAGGAAGACGUCUGUGCCCACAGAUCCCUGGCAUGGUGAGGGAAAGUGUCAUGCUGUAUCAGUGAUCGGCGCUCCUGGAAUAUGCAGACAGGGAGCCUAUGUCCCAUGUCGACUGAAAUUAAAUCAGAAAAAAACUCCAAAAGCAAGAAAGGUUGAUGUUUUAGAAAACAGAACAAUGUUAAAAAAAAUGUGGCCCUGGUAAGAUAUAUAAAGAUGAGCUGUAAAAAGCCACACCACCAGUCUACUGGGUAUAUUCUUGAAAUUAACAAGGUAUUAUAACUUCAUUUUGGCAUUUGCUACAGUAAAAGGUGUAAAAGAUGAGGUGUAAAUGUCAACACGUUUUUUGCACGCUUACAGUACAGACAAUUUGGGAAAUAUACUUUGAUUGAUACCACUCUUAUAUUUGUAGGAUGAAAGUGAAGCUACAGCCAGAAGGCGCUUAGUUUAGCAUAAAGACGAAAUGGGAAACAGCUACCCCAUAUAAUUGUACUUUGUGUGCAGUUAUUAACCAGCUUCAUGCCCUCAUCCUCCUCCAGCAUCUCUUAGACAUAAAUAUAAAAAACAGGCUAAAAUAACAUUUAAAUUCAAGUUUAAUACUUUUUCUAUUGAUUUUUCCAUAUUGCUGUUGAUCUCUAAAAGCUUCCUCUGUCUCCUAUAAGUGGGAAGAGCACAUGCAAUUGUUUAAAAAAGCCUGUCAUGAUUAUAUUAAUUUCUUUCUUUCACCAAUCCUUUAAAAAUGUAUAUUGUCAGUGAGAUAUUUUAGGCAGGUGUCCCAUUUGUCAGCAACGCUGAUACAAGUCAUUGAGAUUGAAAAACAAUUUCCUGGGAAGUCAUAUUCAAGCCAAUUCUAGUCAUGAAAGUGAAGCUGCUAUUUUUCACAUACUGUUCAUAGCUCCAUUUUGCAACUAAAUUAAAAUCUGCCAAGGGAAACCUGCUUGACACUGAGUGGUUUUAACAAGGUGAAAGCUUUGUGUGUUCUCUUACUGCCGCUAAACAGUCACUGCCACAAGGGGGAAAUUAAUGGCCUUUGGAAGAGGACCUGCUAUAGAGGGAGUGCUUAAUUUACCGAGCCACCUGAGUUUCAGGUUGAAUGAAAGCAGGCUCUAUCCCUGGUGACUCACUUCCUCAGUGACUGUGUGUGUGCGUGCGUGUGUGAGCGAGCGAUGCAAAGACACACCAACAGUGACAGUGAAAGUUAGAAAGAAUCAUGCGUGUACAUGUUUGUCCUUAUGUGUCUUUAAUGCAACUGUGUAUUUGUGUGUGCUUAUGUCCAUUGUGUGUCCAGCUGGAACCUUUGAGCUGGACAUCAAACGUAAUGCUCCCACAGACGUCACAUUUGAGCUGCCAAUUCCCAAU
Molecule: long non-coding RNA, 1774 nt
Organism: Perca flavescens (yellow perch)
Lineage: Eukaryota; Metazoa; Chordata; Actinopteri; Perciformes; Percidae
Exons: 4
Source: RefSeq, a predicted model, not a curated record